This 425-nucleotide ribosomal RNA is filed under the name uncultured bacterium. Its description in RNAcentral is "bacterial SSU rRNA". It matches the Rfam family "Bacterial small subunit ribosomal RNA", at positions 29 to 491 of the family's 1533-position model. The record is from RNAcentral.
AACGAACGCUGGCGGCAGGCUUAACACAUGCAAGUCGAACGCUCGGAGCAAUCCGGGAGUGGCGGACGGGUGAGUAACGCGUGGGAACGUGCCCUGAGGUAGGGAAUAACUGCGGGAAACUGCAGCUAAUACCCUAUGAGCCCAUAGCAAUAUGGGGAAAGAUUUAUCGCCUUGGGAGCGGCCCGCGUCGGAUUAGCUAGUUGGUGGGGUAACGGCCUACCAAGGCUUCGAUCCGUAGCNGGUCUGAGAGGACGAUCAGCCACACUGGACUGAGACACGGCCCAGACUCCUACGGGAGGCAGCAGUGGGGAAUCUUGCGCAAUGGGCGAAAGCCUGACGCAGCCAUGCCGCGUGAACGAUGAAGGCCUUAGGGUUGUAAAGUUUCUUUUGCCCGUGACGAUGAUGACGGUAACGGGAGAAUAAGC